Podarcis lilfordi (Lilford's wall lizard) is the source of this 74-nucleotide non-coding RNA. NCBI's taxonomy places the organism in Eukaryota, Metazoa, Chordata, Lepidosauria, Squamata, Lacertidae. The record is from the annotation of a GenBank genome assembly.
UGCAUUUUAGCUCACUUGGUAGAGCGUGAGACUCUAAAUCUCAAGGUUGCAGGUUUGAGACCCACACUGGGCAA